This 456-nucleotide ribosomal RNA is filed under the name uncultured bacterium. RNAcentral's name for it is "SSU rRNA". It matches the Rfam family "Bacterial small subunit ribosomal RNA", at positions 26 to 518 of the family's 1533-position model. The record is from RNAcentral.
AGAACGAACGCUGGCGGCAUGCCUAACACAUGCAAGUCGAACGUGAUCCAGGCUUCGGCCUGGUGAAAGUGGCAGACGGGUGAGUAACGCGUGGGCACCUGCCCUGUGGUAGGGAAUAACCGUGGGAAACUGCGGCUAAUACCCUAUGAGUCCUUCGGGAGAAAGAUUUAUCGCCAUAGGAGGGGCCCGCGUCGGAUUAGGUAGUUGGUGGGGUAACGGCCUACCAAGCCUUCGAUCCGUAGCUGGUCUGAGAGGAUGAUCAGCCACACUGGGACUGAGAUACGGCCCAGACUCCUACGGGAGGCAGCAGUGGGGAAUAUUGGACAAAUGGGGGGCAACCCUGAUCCAGCAAUGCCGCGUGGAUGAUGAAGGCCUUCGGGUUGUAAAGUCCUUUCGGCGGGGAAGAUGAUGACGGUACCGCAGAAGAAGCCCGGCUAACUUCGUGCCAGCAGCCGC